Non-coding RNA from Aedes aegypti (yellow fever mosquito), 117 nucleotides. Lineage: Eukaryota; Metazoa; Arthropoda; Insecta; Diptera; Culicidae. The record is from Rfam.
UGCCCAGCAACUCCUAUCCCUACCUCCUCGCGGUACUCGCCGUGGUACGAGUAACCUUAGGGAAGAUCGGGUAACCAACCCCCGGUGGGAACUUUGGUCGUAUGCUGACAGGGAAGG